GGAUGCGAUCAUACCAGCACUAAAGCACCGGAUCCCAUCAGAACUCCGAAGUUAAGCGUGCUUGGGCUUAGUAGUACUAGGUGGGUGACCUCCUGGGAAGUCCUCAUGUUGCAUUCC
RNAcentral lists this ribosomal RNA (117 nucleotides) under Triticum dicoccoides. The record is from RNAcentral. Lineage: Eukaryota; Viridiplantae; Streptophyta; Magnoliopsida; Poales; Poaceae.